This 81-nucleotide transfer RNA is filed under the name Agaricus bisporus var. burnettii JB137-S8. RNAcentral's name for it is "tRNA-Cys (GCA) (tRNA-Cys-GCA-15-1)". The record is from RNAcentral. Lineage: Eukaryota; Fungi; Basidiomycota; Agaricomycetes; Agaricales; Agaricaceae.
GUCUCGGUAGCUUGCCUAAGUGGUAUGUAUAGCAUGCGAUUGCAGAUCGCAGGGUCCGAUGUUCGAUCAACCGUCGGGACU